This 460-nucleotide ribosomal RNA is filed under the name uncultured bacterium. RNAcentral's name for it is "partial 16S ribosomal RNA". It matches the Rfam family "Bacterial small subunit ribosomal RNA", at positions 338 to 795 of the family's 1533-position model. The record is from RNAcentral.
CCUACGUGGGGUAGCAGUGAGGAAUAUUGGUCAAUGGGCGCGAGCCUGAACCAGCCAAGUAGCGUGAAGGAUGACUGCCCUACGGGUUGUAAACUUCUUUUAUAAAGGAAUAAAGUGAGGCACGUGUGCCUUUUUGUAUGUACUUUAUGAAUAAGGAUCGGCUAACUCCGUGCCAGCAGCCGCGGUAAUACGGAGGAUCCGAGCGUUAUCCGGAUUUAUUGGGUUUAAAGGGAGCGUAGAUGGGUUGUUAAGUCAGUUGUGAAAGUUUGCGGCUCAACCGUAAAAUUGCAAUUGAUACUGGCAGUCUUGAGUACAGUUGAGGUAGGCGGAAUUCGUGGUGUAGCGGUGAAAUGCUUAGAUAUCACGAAGAACUCCGAUUGCGAAGGCAGCUUACUAAACUGCCACUGACAUUGAUGCUCGAAAGUGUGGGUAUCAAACAGGAUUAGAUACCCUAGUAGUC